UUAUAGACUAAAUUGGAUUGAGUCUUGGUAUGGAAACCUACGAAGUGAUAACUUUCAAAUUCAGAGAAACCCUGGAAUGAAAAAUGGGCAAUCCUGAGCCAAAUCCUAUUAUUUUAUUAUUUUAUGAAAAUAAACAUGAGCAAAGGUUCAGCAAGCUAGAAUAAUAAAAAUAGGAAAGGAUAGGUGCAGAGACUCAAUGGAAGCUAUUCUAACAAAUCGGGUUGACUGUUGGUAAAGGAAUCCUUAUAUCGAAUAUCGAAACUCUAGAAAGGAUGCAAGAUAUACCUAUUUUUUUAAAAAGUA
Gossypium raimondii (Peruvian cotton) is the source of this 303-nucleotide intron RNA. It matches the Rfam family "Group I catalytic intron". From Rfam's summary of the family: Group I catalytic introns are large self-splicing ribozymes. They catalyse their own excision from mRNA, tRNA and rRNA precursors in a wide range of organisms. NCBI's taxonomy places the organism in Eukaryota, Viridiplantae, Streptophyta, Magnoliopsida, Malvales, Malvaceae. The record is from Rfam.